UGGGGAAUAUUGGACAAUGGGCGAAAGCCUGAUCCAGCCAUGCCGCGUGUGUGAAGAAGGUCUUCGGAUUGUAAAGCACUUUAAGUUGGGAGGAAGGGCAUUAACCUAAUACGUUAGUGUUUUGACGUUACCGACAGAAUAAGCACCGGCUAACUCUGUGCCAGCAGCCGCGGUAAUACAGAGGGUGCAAGCGUUAAUCGGAAUUACUGGGCGUAAAGCGCGCGUAGGUGGUUUGUUAAGUUGGAUGUGAAAACCCCGGGGUCAACCUGGGAACUGCAUUCAAAACUGACUGACUAGAGUAUGGUAGAGGGUGGUGGAAUUUCCUGUGUAGCGGUGAAAUGCGUAGAGAUAGGAAGGAACACCAGUGGCGAAGGCGACCACCUGGACUAAUACUGACACUGAGGUGCGAAAGCGUGGGGAGCAGACA
RNAcentral lists this ribosomal RNA (427 nucleotides) under uncultured bacterium. RNAcentral's name for it is "partial 16S ribosomal RNA". It matches the Rfam family "Bacterial small subunit ribosomal RNA", at positions 355 to 774 of the family's 1533-position model. The record is from RNAcentral.